AUUUCACUAAGCCUUCUUUUGCAAAAUAAGAAGGAUUGAGGUAAUUAGUAUUAAGUAAAUAACAGAUGACAUUGACAAACAAAAAAUAGAUGUAACAUUUCUAAAUUGUAAACGUGAGAUUCCGUAAAAGGUAUAAAAUAUAUUUUUCACUUAAAUGGAAUUGAUGAUUUUUCAGAUAAGCGUGAAUUGUUGUAAGAGAUAAAAUGCAGCUUACUGCUCGAAACCUGUAUUUAUACCCUUGUAAAUCACCAUAAGUGGCUGUUCUUUCCAUUUACUUCCAUGUAUUUAUACAUAUAAACUUUUUCUUUCAUGUUUUUCCAAUUUUCUGCCUGUUUAGUUUGUUUCUAUACUAUUUAAUACAUUUUAAUUUGUUUGAGAUUUAUAGUAAAUAAAUACAAUUUGCAUAUUUUAUUGGCAUGCUAUCAGGGGUGCAGACUGUACUCCUAUAUGGAGCCUUCUCAAGGAGGGGAACCAGUUACGUCACAAUAAGCUGUCUAACAUAUUUAAAAGCUGGACGGUGGACGGUGACCCUUUACCUGACAGCAUUAUUGGAUCCAUUGCACUCCAGUGGCAGGGCUGGGGUGAUAUUAUGACAGAUCCCUUCUUCCUAGCGCACAGUAAAUCACUCAGGUGUGCAAGAAGAGCCGUUUAGAGCAUCUUUCAGCCUUCCACCUCCACUAGACCCAAGGGAAGCCAAUCCGAUGUAGCAAAUACAGGAUAGGAAAAGGAGGAUGGCUAAAACAUUUAUCAUAUAUGUAUUGACUUGUGUGAGCAUUUUGGUAUCAUUGUGUGUGUGUGUGUAGUUGUGUAUAUCUGUGUGUAUCUGUAUCUGUCAGUGUUAGUAUGGGUCAGAGAGUUGUGAGUGUCAGACAAAUUGUAUGUAUUUGGUAUGUGUGUAUUUUGGAUAGAGUUUGUGUCUAGCUGUGUGUUUCUAUCUGUUUCCUGUACCCGGUCGGACUGACAGGAAGGUGCACACUCAGUGUGCACCUUCCUAUCNNNNNNNNNNNNNNNNNNNNNNNNNNNNNNNNNNNNNNNNNNNNNNNNNNNNNNNNNNNNNNNNNNNNNNNNNNNNNNNNNNNNNNNNNNNNNNNNNNNNGGCUGCAGUAUUUAAAGGGCCGGCCCGCCGCGGCUGGCCUUACAGGAAUUUAGGGCGGCCUGGGGGGCAAUUGCCUCCCUGCCCCCCGGCCCAGCCCGCCCCUGUUCUCAAGGAGGGGAACCAGUUAGGUCACAAUAAGCUGUCUAACAUAUUUAAAAGCUGGACGGUGGAUGGUGACCCUUUACCUGACAGCAUUAUUGGAUCCAUUGCACUCCAGUGGCAGGGCUGGGGUGAUAUUAUGACAGAUCCCUUCUUCCUAGCGCACAGUAAAUCACUCAGGUGUGCAAGAAGAGCCGUUUAGAGCAUCUUUCAGCCUUCCACCUCCACUAGACCCAAGGGAAGCCAAUCCGAUGUAGCAAAUACAGGAUGGGAAAAGGAGGAUGGCUAAAACAUUUAUCAUAUAUGUAUUGACUUGUGUGAGCAUUUUGGUAUCAUUGUGUGUGUGUGUGUAGUUGUGUAUAUCUGUGUGUAUCUGUAUCUGUCAGUGUUAGUAUGGGUCAGAGAGUUGUGAGUGUCAGACAAAUUGUAUGUAUUUGGUAUGUGUGUAUUUUGGAUAGAGUUUGUGUCUAGCUGUGUGUUUCUAUCUGUUUGUGUGUAUGAAUAUGUGUAUGUAUAUAAAUAUGUAUGUGUGAUUAGUUGUUUGUAUCUGUAAAUGCAACUUGCUGUGUGUAUCUGCAUCAGUAACUAGCUGUGUGUAUCUGUGUAUGAGACUAGCUGUGUGUAUCUGUGUAUGAGACUAGCUGUGUGUAUCUGCGUCAGUAACUAGCUGUGUGUAUCUGCGUCAGUAAUUAGCUGUGUAUUUCUGUGUAUGUGACUAGCAGUGUGUAUCUGUGUAUGCGACUAGCUGUGUGUAUCUGUGUAUGUGACUAGCUGUGUGUAUUUGAUUAUGAAAUUAGCUGUGUAUGUCUGUGUAUGUGACUAGCUGUAUGUAUCUGUGUAUGUGACUAGCUGUAUGUAUCUGUGUAUGUGACUAGCUGUAUGUAUCUGUGUAUGUGGCUAGCUGUGUGUAUCUGUGUAUAUGACUACUACUAGCUGUGUGUAUUUGUGUAUUAAAAUGGCAGACUUAGUUCAGUAUAAUAGGUGUUAUGCAUUUGUUUCACGUUACACUUUUUGGAGAUUUGGAUGCUGUCUAAUCUGUAGACAGUUUUCUAUAUUGCUGCAGGAGAUUGUAUUUUUGAAGUCUGAGAUUUGUAAAUUAUCUGGUAAACAAACUCUGGCUGGAACUGUUGCAAAACCACUGCCGCAAAGACGUACUUGGAAUGGCAGAUGGAUUACUGUAGGAUCUGGUAGACUUAGAGUUGUGGAUAAAAGGUAUAUUGCACAGUCUGUUGCUCUACAUAAUUCAUUUUCUGCACUUUCAGAGUGUAAUGGUGUUGUGGAGACAGGCUCAGGCACUGAGUGUAGUGGUGUUGUGGGGACAGGCUUGGAGACUAUGGUGAGGCCUGAUAGAAACCAGUUGUUGUUGGGGGAUUCUAGCAUAAGAGGUGUGGAGCUGGACAAUAGUGGCCGUAUGAGAUGUCUUCCUGGAGCUACUGCUAACAGAGAUAAACAAAUAUCAGUAUUUCCCUUAGAGUUCAAUAUUGGAAAUCAAAGUCCACAAUGUUGCAAUACUAUACAAUAAUAACUGUAUAUAAACAUUCAUUGAAUUGUAAAAAAGCUACAUAUAAGUACACAAUGAUAGCAGCUAAUAUAGUCUCCGUUGAAUACAGUUCUAUAGCUGUGGUUAAAAUGUAAGCUGAUAGCAGUUGACUCCAGUUACUGGAUUGGCUGGGGUAUAUCUGCUAAAUUAGCAAGUAUGAUAUAGUACAAAAAAAACAAUGAUGGUCUCCUUUAGAUAAUAAAUUAGCUUGGAAAAUUGUACACUGCUGAUUUGAUAAUAAACUUAAAAAUCAUAGGCAAGGAUUUAAAGUUAUGAGUAAUCGUAAAAAAAAAUCCAUAAUGUUUACUCCAUCAAAGAAAACAUUUUAUUCAAUAAAUAUAAUUUUAAAAAAGUAGUUUGGUGAAAAUCACUCACUAUCUGCGCCAGGUGGUUAUUAGAAUACUACUAAGUUCAUUGGUGACAGCGUGGUUUGGGUCCCUCAGUCCGGCCGGUGAUGGAGAAAUGCUGACAGGAGCCGCGUGCGUGUCACCUUACUGUGUUUCGUGUGUUCCAAUACCACUCGGUAACUUCCAGCGGUGAGUACCGAAAAGCGAUUCAAUACUUACGCGUUUCGUGAGAUACGUCUCACUUCAUGAGAGGAUAACUUGUAGAUUGAGCGAUCGGGUUAAAUACCCAAUAAGAGAUUAUUAACCCAUUAAUUGCAGAAACAUAGCCAUCAUUGAAUUUAUAAGCAAAUCCGUAAUUUAUUACGAUGUAGUAAAAUAUCAUUUUAAAAAAUGACAAAAUAAAGCGGAGUGCGAUAAUAGAAAUGGUGCACUUAAAGGAAUACAAUCAUUAUAAAAAAUAUACUGAUGGCAAUAACAUUAAAAAUAAGUUAAAACCUUACAAAUGAUAAAAUACAUUUUAAAAGAUUGUGGCAUAGUAAUAAAAUUAGAAGUGUACAAGAGAAAUAAGCCUUGCAAUAAAGAUAUACCUUGCAAAUGAAAAAUUACGUUUGUCUAAAGAAGAUAAUAAUAUGAUUAGAAGUGUACAAAAGAUGGACCUUACAACUUAAGAACAUAAUAAUAUACUAUAAUUUACUGUCUACAAUAAGUACAAGCCUUGCAAUAAUAAAAAGCAUUUCACUGAAAUCGAAUACCGUUUGGUUGUAUAGUUUGCAAUAUACAAAUAAACAUGGAUAGUACAUUUAUAUAGAUAAGGAGUUGAAUGGUGUGUAGUUGGAGAUAUUCUAGAGAGUUUUACAGAAGCUUCAACUGUCUAAGAGUUGUGCUAAGAGCUUUCUUUUCUACUGUUACAGGUAAGAUUCAUCUGUAGGAAAAGGUUACUGAUUGCACAAGGUUUGAAUUCCUGUUGGUAAUUAUAAGGCAUUUGAUUUGAUUAAGCUAGUUACUUGCUAUUGAUUGCUGGUUAAUUAGCUAUUGUUUGCAAAUAAGCAGAGGCCUACCCAGGUGUUAAACAUUCCUAGUGGGUGGGAUUUUAGGAGUUAAAUAAGGCUUGUUGUCAUUAGCUUGGCUAAUAUAGCUUGGUUGCUUCACCUAAGUGUUGCUUCUAAGUGUGCAGUUGGAGAUAUUCUGGAGAGUGUUGCUUCUAAGUGUGCAGUUGGAGAUAUUCUGGAGAGUGUUGCUUCUAAGUGUGUAGUUGGAGAUAUUCUGGAGAUAAACUGAAGGUAAUCUGAGGUAUUCAGGAGGAUAAAGAAAAAAGUUAAGAUUAGUUUGAGUUAAAUUAUUUUCAUCAUUGGAAUGGCAGACUUAGUUCAGUGUAAUAGUUGCUAUACAUUUGUUUCACGUUCUACUUUUUGGAGAUUUGGUUGUUGUCUUAUCUGUAGACAGUUCUCUAUCUUGCGGCAGGAGAUUGUAUUUUUGAAGUCUGAGAUUUGUAAAUUAUCUGGUGAACAAACUCAGACUGGAACUGCUGCAAAGCCACUACCGCAGAGACAUACUAGGAAUGGCAGAUGGAUUACUUUAGGAUCUGGUAGACUUAGAGUUGUGGAUAAAAGGCAUUUUGCACAGUCUGUUGCUCUACAUAAUUAAUUUUCUGCACUUUCAGAGUGUAAUGGUGUUGUGGAGAGAGGCACUGGGGCUAGUGGUGUUGUGGAGAGAGGCACUGAGGCUAGUGGUUUUGUGGAGAGGCGCACUGAGGCUAGUGGUGUUGUGGAGACCGGCUUGGAGACUAUGGUGAGGCCUAAUAGAAAGCAGUUGUUGUUGGGGGAUUCCAUCAUAAGAGGUGUGGAGAUGGACAAUGGUCUUCCCGGAGCUACUGCUCACAGAGACAGGAGACGUAUCUGUAAUAUUGUUAAGCAAGCAAAGCAGGAAUGGGAAUUGGAUGUACUUGUCCAUCUAGGGACAAAGGACUUGGCUUGCAAUGAGGUUUCAGAGGUUAAGGAAGUUUUUAGUGUUUUUGCCAAUGAUAUACGGCAGGUUGCUUCCACACUGUCAUUCUCUGAAGUUCUGCCUGUGCAUAACACUCAGAACGACAGACGAAUGCUUAUUAGGGACUUUAAUUUGUGGCUUGGUGAAUGGUGUCGGGAGCAAGGAUUUGGCUUUAUUUCUCAUGGUAGCUCUGUUUGGAAUGGAAAUAAGCUGUACAAAAAAGAUGGUUUGCAUCUUUCUCAAAAGAGAACAAAUGUUCUCUGUGAGCAGUUCAGAGGUUUUGCUAGGAUGUAUUUAAACUAGAAGGGGGGAGCAAAAGGGUGAUAAAACAUUAAUCCAAUUGUCCCCCAAAACAAGGACAGAAGGUGCCUGUAGCAAGUGUGUUAAAAAAUGAUAAGCUUAGAGUCAUGUCUACAAAUGCUCGCAGUUUAGGGAAAAAGAUCCAUGAACUUGUGGCAAUAAUGGCAACUGAGAGUGUAGAUUUAUUCGCUAUUACUGAGACAUGGUAUAAUGAGAAAAAUGACUGGGACAUAGCAAUACCAGGGUACUCUUUAUAUAGAAAAGAUAGGAAAGGCAAGAAAAGGGGAGGGGUGGCCCUGUAUGUGAAGGAUAGCAUAAAAUCGAGCCUACUAAAAGUUUGUUUGGGUUACUUUAGAAUUUGGUAAUCACACAGUAACUCGUGUAGGUGUGAUUUAUAGGCCCCUAGGACAAAUUGAAGAGUUAGAUAAUCUACUAGUUGAGGAAAUAGCUAAAAUGACAAUGAAGGGGGAAGUUAUCAUCAUGGGUGACUUUAAUCUUCCUGAUGUAAAUUGGAAAACAAAAUUAGCUACAUGUGCCAGGAGCACACAUAUUCUAAACUCACUACUGGGAUUGUCUCUAAAACAUUGUUGAAGAGCCAACUCGUAAAGAGGCCAUACUAGAUUUAGUGUUAACAAAUGGAGAUUUGGUAUCAGAUAUUACUGAAGGUGAAAGUAUAGGAUCCAGUGAUCAUCAGUCAGUGUGGUUUAAUAUAAGAACAGUGACUGAGUCACACCACACAAAAACAAAAGUUUUAGACUUUAGAAAAACAGACUUUUCUAAAAUUAGAAUAUGUGUAGAGGAGUCAUUAUCAGACUGGAGCAAUUUAAAUGGAGUCCAAGAGAAAUGGGAUUAUUUAAAAGUUGCACCAUUGAAGGCAACAGAAAAUUGCAUUAGGCUUGUCAGUAAAAGCAAAAAAUUCAAGAAACCACUGUGGUACUCUGCAGAUGUGGCCAAAAUAGUUAAAAACAAAAAGUUAGCAUUUAGGAAUUAUAAAAAAACCCAGAGUGAGGAAGACAAAAUGAUCUAUAAGAUUAGGCAGAAUGAGGCUAAGCAAGUUAUAAGAGCUUCCAAAUCACACAUAGAAGAGAAAAUAGCACAGCCAUUAAAAAAGGGGGAUAAAACAUUUUUUAGAUACAUAAAUGAGAAAAGAAAAGUAAAACAAGGAUUAGUUCAAUUAAAAACAAAAGAAUGAAGGUAUGUAGAAGAGGAUAAAGGUCUAGCUGACUGCCUCAAUUAAUAUUUUUGUUCUGUAUUUACAGAUGAAAAUGAAGGAAAAGGACCUCAGUUGAGAAAAAGGAUAAAUGAGUCAUUUAUUACAUGUGAGUUUACAGAGGAAGAGGUUCUAUUUCAACUGUCAAAAGUAAAGACAAAUAAGUCAAUGGGACCUGAUGGAAUACACCCAAAGCUAUUAAAAGAGCAUAGUGGUGUACUAGCAAAACCAUUAACAGAUUUAUUUAACCAAUCAUUGUUAACAGGAGUAGUCCCAGAAGAUUGGAAGUUAGCGAAUGUUGUGCCCAUUUACAAGAAAGGUAAUAGGGAGGAGUCGGGCAACUACAGGCCAGUAAGCCUUACUUCAGUAGUGGGGAAAGUGAUGGAAACCAUGUUAAAGGAUAGAAUUGUUGAACAUCUUAAAACACAUGGAUUUCAAGAUCAGAGACAACAUGGAUUUACUUCAGGGAGAUCAUGCCAAACUAAUCUUAUUGAUUUUUUUGAUUGGGUAACUAAAAUUAUAGAUCAGGGUGGUGCAGUAGACAUUGCUUACCUAGAUUUCAGUAAGGCUUUUGACACUGUUGCACAUAGAAGGCUUAUCAAUAAACUGCAAUCUUUAAGUUUGGAUUCCAAUAUUGCUGAAUGGGUAAGGCAGUGGCUGAGUGACAGGCAACAGAGGGUUGUAGUUAAUGGAAUAUAUUCGAAGCUUGGACUUGUCACCAGUGGGGUACCUCAGGGAUCUGUACUUGGACCCAUUCUCUUUAAUAUUUUUAUUAGUGAUAUUGCAGAAGGUCUUGAUGGUAAGGUAUGUCUUUUUGCUGAUGAUACUAAGAUAUGUAACAGGGUUGAUCUUCCAGGAGGGAUAAGCCAAAUGACAAAUGAUUUAGGUAAACUAGAAAAAUGGUCAGAAUUGUGGCAACUGAAAUUUAAUGUGGAUAAGUGCAAGAUAAUGCAUCUUGGACGUAAAAACUGAAGGGCAGAGUACAGAAAAUUUGAUAGAGUUCUAACCUCAACAAUUGAGGAAAGGGAUUUAGGGGUGAUUAUUUCAGAUGACUUAAAGGUAGGCAGACAAUGUAAUACAGCAGCAGGAAAUGCUAGCAGAAUGCUUGGUUGUAUAGGGAGAGGUAUUAGCAGUAGAAAGAGGGAAGUGCUCAUGCCAUUGUACAGAACACUGGUGAGACCUCACUUGGAGUAUUGUACACAGUACUGGAGACCGUAUCUUCAGAAGGAUAUUGAUACCUUAGAGAGGGUUCAGAGAAGGGCUACUAAACUGGUUUAUGGAUUGCAGGAUAAGACUUACCAGGAAAGGUUAAAGGAUCUUAACAUGUAUAGCUUGGAGGAAAGACGAGACAGGGGGGAUAUGAUAGAAACAUUUAAAUAUAUAAAGGAAUCAACACAGUAAAGGAGGAGACUAUAUUUAAAAGAAGAAAAACUACCACAACAAGAGGACAUAGUCUUAAAUUAGAGGGACAAAGGUUUAAAAAUAAUAUCAGGAAGUAUUACUUUACUGAGAGGGUAGUGGAUGCAUGGAAUAGCCUUCCAGCUGAAGUGGUAGAGGUUAACACAGUAAAGGAGUUUAAGCAUGCGUGGGAUAGGCAUAAGGCUAUCCUAACUAUAAGAUAAGGCUAGGGACUAGUGAAAGUAUUUAGAAAAUUGGGCAGACUAGAUGGGCCGAAUGGUUCAUAUCUGCUGUCACAUUCUAUGUUUCUGUGUUUCUAUGUUUCUAAUAGUUGGAUCUUAAGCAUACUAGUAAUCAAUGGAUAUGUAAUGACGAAUAUGGAAAAAAUAGAAACUGUGCUAGUAGAGAGAUAGCCAUAUGAAAGAAUAACUUAAAUUUAGAUGGGAACCAGUAUGUAAACUGGCCAAAUGGAUAUAUAAAAAUAUAAGAAUUAUCAAAAAGUGUAAUAAAAAAAAAAAUAUUUAUAUAUUAAAAAAUGGGACUAUCUUAAAAUGAGAAAAAUAUUUAAAUGCUAAAAACUGAUUAUACUGAAAAAGAACAACCUUUAAAAGAUACCUCUAAAAAACAAUUUAUAAAAAACAAUCUAUAAAAAAGCAUUUAAUUCGAAGUCCACGUUUAAUCCAUAUUCAAUUUGUCGGAACGUACUCUGACAAAAGAGGAAUUAUCUUUACUCCACAAAGGCCUCAAAUUUGCCCCUAACUCUUCCAAUUCAAGUUUUCAUAUAUUCAUAGACCUUCAUAAAUUUAUUAGAAAAUUAUCUAUAAAAAAAUUAUUUCUAGAACAAGAAAGUAAUAGCAUUGAAGGUGACACACAUUACGAACAUACCAAUCUACAUCCUCAAUCCACUUUUUAUCCCUAUCACAUUAAAACAGACCAUAUAAGAGUCUUUGAAAAGAAUGUAGAGAAAGAAUUAAGAAGUUUAAACGUUAAAAAUACAUCCAAAGAUAAUCUCACAAAAAAAAAGAAAGAACAGCUUUAAAAUCCCUAAUGGAAGAUGAUACAAUUGUUACAACGGCAGCAGAUAAAGGAGGAGGAUUGGUAUUACUUAACCUAGAAGAUUAUCAGCAAGAAAAUCAAAGAUUACCAAGUGACAAAAAAACAUACCAGGUACUAAAUAGUAAUCCCACUAAAAAAUUCAACAAGAAUUACAAAACCUAUUGGAGGAAGGAAAACUAAGAGGCAUACUUACAAAAAAAAAAUAUGAUUAUUUAUACUGCCAAUUCCCUAAGAUGGCAGUAUUUUAUCAUGUGCCAAAGAUACACAAGUCUCUCAAUAACCCCCCUGGGCGUCCAAUCAUUUCAGGGAUUGGUUCCUUAACUUCGAAUUUGUCAGAAUAUGUGGAUACAUUUUUGCAAACCAUAGUUACCCAACUCAAAUCUCAUUUAAGGGAUACUAUGCACAUUAUACAAAUUUUAUCAGAAGUAGAAUGGCAAGAAGAAUACAUGCUGGUUUCAGCGGACGUUACAUCGCUAUAUACGGUAAUAGAGCACCUACAAGGUUGCGAAGCGAUCCAGUACGCACUUGCCACUUUCUCAGAACUUAAAAAUGAUCAAAUAGACUAUAUAGUCAAAUGUGUGGCAUUUAUUCUAAGUCAUAAUUUCUUUUGGGCCAACAACCAACACUACUUGCAGGUAGAGGGGAAUGCCAUGGGGACCAGAUUUGCACCAAGCUAUGCAAAUCUUUUUAUGGGAAAAUGGGAGGAUGAAUUUAUCUGGACCCAUAACCCAUACGGCGCAAAUCUGGUCCUGUGGCGGCGCUAUAUCGACGAUUGUAUUUUUAUUUGGAGAGGUGACUCAGUUUUAUUGGAUUCUUUUAAACAGUUUCUCAAUUUUAAUCCAUACAAUUUAAAGUUCACUUUUAAUCAAUCAAAAGAAAAACUGGAAUUUUUAGACUUGGAGAUAUACAUUAAGAACAACAAAACAGAAACUAAAACAUUUAGGAAGUCAGUAGCAUGUAAUAGCUUUAUACCAUACAACAGUUUUCAUACACCUAUUUGGUUAAAAAAUAUACCAUUCAGUCAAUUCCGACGAAUCAGAAGAAACUGUUCAGAACCCAAAAUCUGUAUUCAACAAAUACAAGAGAUGAGAUCCCAAUUCCAAGAAAAAGGUUAUUCUGAAGAUACAUUAGACAAGGCUAUCAUCAAAACCAUUGAAAUACCACGGUCAAAAUUUUUAGAAGCAAAGCCCAGAAUUCCUUUCAAUCAAUCAAAUACUCUCCUACCUUUAUCACCAGAUUCAAUCACCAUUCAGGUCAGAUAAAGAAAAUCUUACAAAACAACUGGAACAUUCUCAAAGGAGAUCCACAAUUGGAUAAAAUAUUAGGUAACCAACCACGGAUUAUUCAUUCAAAAGCACCCAAUUUAGGUAUCCUAUUAGCCCCCACAACAAAACAAGAGGAACCUACAAAACAAAAUCCCACAGUUUCUACACACAUGAAAGGCUUCUGGAAAGGCAAAACAUGCAUAGCAUGUAAAAAUAAUCCUGACCAACCCAUCCAUAGCAAGGAAUUUGUGCACCCUCAAACUAAAGAAUAAUUUCCAAUUAAAAAUCAUUUAAAUUGUAACACCAGUGGAGUGAUUUAUAUUUUAAGCUGUCCCUGCAAUAAAAUAUAUGUAGGACGUACAAAGAGAGCUUUUAAAGUUAGAGUCAGUGAACACAUUAAAACAUUAGAAAAGGCCUUAAUGUACAUAACCUUUCAAAACACUUUGCCAUUAAACAUGAAAAAGACCCAAAAGGAUUAAAAUUCAGGGCCGCCAUCAGUGGGUGACAACCAUAACGGUUAUCACGGGCCCGGCGGUCCUUGGGGCCCGGACUGCUUUGGCAGUCCAGGGCCCCACAAUUACUCUCUGCACCUAUAUAUAGCGAUGGUCGCUAUAUAUAGGUGCAGCCGCGGGCCCCCGGCUCCCUAUACUUGCAGAGGGGGCCCAGCAGACUGCAGGAGCACAUUACAGCUCUUCCCUCUCUCUAACUCCCGCAAGAAGUGCGGCCAUUAGAGCGUUGCCAUGGGUUAUGUGGUGUGCGGCGUGCACACCACGUCUCGCUGGAGUUAGAGAGAGGGAAAUGCUGUAAAGUGCUCCUGCAUUCCGCUGGGCCCCCUCUGCAAGUAUAGGGAGCUGGGGGGCCCCACCAUGCCACCUGACCACCAGGGAUGGAAUCUCUCCACCUCCCUGGACCAGGUAAGAAACAGGGAGGGGGGAAUAACAGAUUACAUUUACAGUCUUACAUUACAUGCAUACAUUAGUAAACACACACACACCCUGAUUUCAUUACACUAACACACACUCUGCAUUCACUACACUAACACACACACUGCAUUCAUUACACUUACACACACACUGCAUUCAUUACACUAACUAACACUCUGCAUUCACUACACUAACACACACACUGCAUUCAUUACACUAACACACACUCUGUAUUCAUUACACUAACACACACUCUGCAUUCACUACACUAACACACACACUGCAUUCAUUACACUAACACACACACUGCAUUCAUUGCACUGACACACUCUGCAUUCAUUACAUUAACACACACUGCAUUAAUUGCACUAACAGACACUCUGCAUUCAUUACACUAACACACAGUCUGCAUUCAUUACACUGACACACUCUGCAUUCAUUGCACUGACACAUUCUGCAUUCAUUACACUAACACACACUCUGCAUUCAUUGCACUAACACACACUCUGCAUUCAUUACACUAACACACAGUCUGCAUUCAUUACAAUGACACACUCUGCAUUCAUUGCACUGACACACACACUGCAUUCAUUACACUAACACACAGUCUGCAUUCAUUACACUGACACACUCUGCAUUCAUUGCACUGACACACACACUGCAUUCAUUACACUGACACACUCUGCAUUCAUUACACUAACACACACACUGCAUUCAUUACACUGACACGCUGCAUUCAUUUCACUAACACACACUUUGCAUUCAUUACACUAACACACACUGCAUUCAUUGCACUACACACUCUGCAUUCAUUGCGGGGGAGGGGGGGAGUCCGGCCGGCUGGGCGGGGGGGGGGAGGGCAUGGGGGGUCCAGACCUUGUGCUUUGUUAGGGGCCCCAAAAUUUCUGGUGGCGGCACUGUUAAAAUUUAUGGCAAUACAGAAAGUUAAUAUUCCAUGGAGUGGGGGAGACCUAGAGAAAGAAUUGGAUAAAGAGGAAGCUAAGUGGAUUUUUAAAUUAGAUACUCUGGAACCUAAAGGGUUAAACAUGGACUUCGAAUUAAAUGCUUUUUUAUAGAUUGUUUUUUAGAGGUUGCUUUUUACAAGUAUCUUUUAAAGGUUGUUGUUUUUCAGUAUAAUCAGUUUUUAGCAUUUAAUUCCUUUUCUCAUUUUAAGAUAGUCCCAUUUUUUAUAUAUAUAUAUAUAUAUAUAUAUAUAUAUAUUUUUUUUUUUUUAUAUAUUUUUAUUACACUUUUUCAUAAUUCUUAUUUUUUUAUAUAUCCAUUUGGCCAGUUUUCAUACUGGUUCCCAUCUAAAUCUAAGUUAUUCUUUCAUAUGGCUAUCUCUCUACUAGCACAGUUUCUAUUUUUUUCCAUAUUCGUCAUUACAUAUCCAUUGAUUACUAGUAUGUUUAAGAUCCAACUAUUAGACCAUUCAACUCCUUAUCUAUAUAAAUUUACUAUCCAUGUUUAUUUGUAUAUUGCAAACUAUACAACCAAACGGUAUUCGAUUUCAGUGAAAUGUUCUUUAUUAUUGCAAAGCUUGUACUUAUUGUAGACAGNNNNNNNNNNNNNNNNNNNNNNNNNNNNNNNNNNNNNNNNNNNNNNNNNNNNNNNNNNNNNNNNNNNNNNNNNNNNNNNNNNNNNNNNNNNNNNNNNNNNUUGCUGAUAAAUUCAAUGAUGGCUAUAUUUCUGCAAUUAAAGGGUUAGUAAUCUCUUAUCGGGUAUUUAACCCGAUCGCUCAAUCUACAAGUUAUCCUCUGAUGAAGUGAGACGUAUCUCACGAAAAGCGUAAGAAGUUACCAAAUGGUAUUGGAACGCACGAAACACAGUAAGGUGACACGCACGCGGCUCCUGUCAGCAUUUCUCCAUCACCGGCCGGACUGAGGGACCCAAACCACGCUGUCACCAAUGAACUCAGUAGUAUUCUAAUUACCACCUGGCGCAGAUAGUGAGUGAUUUUCACCAAACUACUUUUUUAAAAUUAUAUUUAUUGAAUAAAAUGUUUUCUUUGAUGGAGUAAACAUUAUGGAUUUUUUUUUUAGUGUACAAUUUUCCAAGCUAAUUUAUUAUCUAAAGGAGACCAUCAUUGGUUUUUUGUACUAUAUCAUACUUGCUAAUUUAGCAGAUAUACCCCAGCCAAUCCAGUAACUGGUGUCCACUGCUAUCAGCUUAAUUUGAACCACAGAUAUAGAACUGUAUUGAACAGAGACUAUAUUAGCUGCUAUAAUUGUGGACUUAUUUGUAGCUUUUUUACAAUUCAAUGAAUUUUUAUAUACAGUUAUUAUUGUAUACUAUUGCAACAUUGUGGACUUUAAUUCCCGGUAUUAAACUCUAAGGGAAAUACUGAUAUUUGUUUAUCAGACCUCAUACAAGCUGUUAAAGAGGUAACCAUUUCUGUAUAUUUUGUUCUAUAACACUAUCUGAUAUUCCUAUAUUACUCCUGGGCAUCUAGUUAGAUUUUAUCUAACAUUUUAUUUUCAGAGACAGAAGACGUAUUUGUAAUAUUUAGGGAUCGACCGAUUAUCAGUUUUACCGAUAUUAUCGGCCGAUAUUCGGUAUUUUCGGCAAUAUCGGUAUCGGCCAAUUCAGAUACCGAUAUUGCCGAUAAUAUAUAACAGGACCGCCAGGCUCAUUACAAGCCCGGCGGUCCUGAGGGGGCCCGCAGGUAGCGCUUACUUACCUCCCAGCAGCUACUUCAGCUCCCCAGUGUAAGUCUCGCGAAACCCGCGGCCGUCAGAGCAUUGCCACGGGUUACCAUGGCAAUGCUCCGCGCGGCACACUGGCCGCAAGACUUACACUGGGGAGCUGGAGAAGCUGCUGGGAGGUAAGUAAGCGCUACCUGCGGGCACCACCACAGCUCAGCCAAUGCCACUGGACCACCAGGGACUGCUAUAUCCCCCCUCCCUGGCCAGGAAACAAGCAGGGAGGGGGGGGGGGACAACAAAAAUAAAUAAAAAUAAUUAAAUAUAUUAAAAAAAAAUGUUUAAUAAAAAAAAUGCCCCCUCACACACACACUCCAUUAUAUACACAUACACUACACAAACACACUGUGUAUAUAAUGCAGUGUGUUUGUAUAGUGUGUGUAUGUAAUGCACACUACACAAACACACUGCAUUAUAUACACACACUAUACAAACACACUGCAUUUUAUACACACACUACACAAACACACUGCAUUAUAUAAACACACUACACAAACACACUGUAUUAUAUACACACACUAUACAAACACACUGCAUUAUAUUUACUCACUAUACAAACACACUGCAUUAUAUAAACACACUACAAAAACACACUGCAUUAUAUAAACACACUACACAAACGCACUACAUUAUAUACACAGUGUGUUUGUGUAGUGUAUUUAUAUAAUGCAGUGAGUGUGUGUUAGUAUAGUGUGUGUAUAUAAUGCAGUGUGUUUAUAUAAUGCACACUACACAAACACACUUCAUUAUAUACACACACUGCAUUAUAUAAACACACUUCAUUCACUAUACACACACUACACAAAUACAGACACACACUCUGUAUUCAUUAUAUACACACACUACACAAACACACACACUUUGCAUUUAGUAUGUACAGCAUUCACUUUACACACACACUGCAUUCACUUUACGCACACUACCCACACACUACACAAACACUCUGCUUUCAUUAUAUACACACUACACUAAUACACACUUCAUCCACUGCACACACUAGACAAAUACACACUGCAUCCACUACAUAAACACACACUGCAUCCACUACACACAACACAAACACACACUGCAUCAACUACACACACACUACACAAACACACACUGCAUCCACUACACACACUACACAAACACACACAGCUCCCCUGUCUAAACACACUGCAUCCACUACAUGUGGCAUGUAUAUUUUGUGCAUUUACCUUCAGAAAUAGUUUUUAUUUUCCAAAAUGGUGCAAUGUACAGAAUAUCGGCCUGAAAGUUCACAGAAUAUCGGUAUCGGUAUUGGCUCUAAAAAAUCAAUAUCGGUCGAUCCCUAGUAAUAUUCUUAAGUGAGCAAAGCAGGAAGGGGAAUUGGAUGUACUGGUCCAUAAGGACUUGCAAUGAGGUUUCAGAGGUAAAGGAAGUUUUUGUAUUUUUGCCAAUGAUAUAAGGUAGGUUGCUUCCACACUGUCAUUCUCUGAAGUUCUGCCUGUGUGAACACUCAGAACGACAGGCGGAUGCAUAUUAGGGACUUUAACUUGUGGCUUUAUGAAUGGUGUCGGAAGCAAGGAUUUGACUUCAUUUUUUGAUGGUAGCUCUGUUUCGAAUGGAAAUAAACUGUACAAAAAGAUGGUUUGCAUCUUUCUCAAAAGGGAAAAAUGUUCUCAGUGAGCAGUUCAGAGGUUUUGCUAGAAUGUAUUUAAACUAAGAGGGGGGCAAAAGGGUGAUACAACAUCCAUCCAAUUUCCCCCCAAAACAAGGACAGAAGGUGCCUGUAGCAAGUGUGUUAAAAAAUGAUAAGCUUAGAGUCAUCUCUACAAAUGCUCGCAGUUUAGGGAAUAAGAUCCAUGAACGUGUUUCAAUAAUGGCAACUGAUAAUGUAGAUUUAGUCGCUGUUACUGAGACAUGGUAUAAUGAGAAAAAUGACUGGGACAUAGCAAUACCAGGGUACUCUUUAUAUAGAAAAGAUAGGGAAGGGGGAGGGAUGGCCCUGUAUGUGAAGGAUAGCAUAAAAUCUAGCCUAAUAAAAGUUAGUGAGGCGAACAUAGAGUCAGUUUGGGUUACGUUAGAAUUUGGUAAUCACACAGUAACUAGUGUAGGUGUAAUUUAUAGGCCCGCAGGACAAAUAGAAGAGUUAGAUAAUCUACUAGUUGAGGAAAUAGCUAAAAUGACAAUGAAGGGGGAAGUUAUAGAAACAUAGAAACAUAGAAACAUAGAAUGUGACGGCAGAUAAGAACCAUUUGGCCCAUCUAGUCCGCCCAAUUUUCUAAAUACUUUCAUUAGUCCUUGGCCUUAUCUUAUAGUUAGGAUAGCCUUAUGCCUAUCCCACGCAUGCUUAAACUCCUUUACUGUGUUAACCUCUACCACUUCAGCUGGAAGGCUAUUCCAUGCAUCCACUACCCUCUCAGUAAAGUAAUACUUCCUGAUAUUAUUUUUAAACCUUUGUCCCUCUAAUUUAAGACUAUGUCCUCUUGUUGUGGUAGUUUUUCUUCUUUUAAAUAUAGUUUCCUCCUUUACUGUGUUGAUUCCCUUUAUAUAUUUAAAUGUUUCUAUCAUAUCCCCCCUGUCUCGUCUUUCCUCCAAGCUAUACAUGUUAAGAUCCUUUAACCUUUCCUGGUAAGUUUUAUCCCGCAAUCCAUGAACCAGUUUAGUAGCCCUUCUCUGAACCCUCUCUAAGGUAUCAAUAUCCUUCUGAAGAUACGGUCUCCAGUACUGUGUACAAUACUCCAAGUGAGGUCUCACCAGUAUUCUGUACAAUGGCAUGAGCACUUCCCUCUUUCUACUGCUAAUACCUCUCCCUAUACAACCAAGCAUUCUGCUAGCAUUUCCUGCUGCUCUAUUACAUUGUCUGCCUACCUUUAAGUCAUCAGAAAUAAUCACCCCUAAAUCCCUUUCCUCAUAUGUUGAAUUUAGGACUCUAUCAAAUAUUCUGUACUCUGCCCUUGGGUUUUUACGUCCAAGAUGCAUUAUCUUGCACUUAUCCACAUUAAAUGUCAGUUGCCACAAUUCUGACCAUUUUUCUAGUUUACCUAAAUCAUUUGCCAUUUGGCUUAUCCCUCCUGCAACUUUAACCCUGUUACAUAUCUUAGUAUCAUCAGCAAAAAGACAUACCUUACCAUCAAGACCUUCUGCAAUAUCACUAAUAAAAAUAUUAAAGAGAAUGGGUCCAAGUACAGAUCCCUGAGGUACCCCACUGGUGACAAGUCCAAGCUUCGAAUAUAUUCCAUUAACUACAACCCUCUGUUGCCUGUCACUCAGCCACUGCCUUACCCAUUCAACAAUAUUGGAAUCCAAACUUAAAGAUUGCAGUUUAUUGAUAAGCCUUCUAUGUGCAACAGUGUCAAAAGCCUUACUGAAAUCUAGGUAAGCAAUGUCUACUGCACCACCCUGAUCUAUAAUUUUAGUUACCCAAUCAAAAAAAUCAAUAAGAUUAGUUUGGCAUGAUCUCCCUGAAGUAAAUCCAUGUUGUCUCUGAUCUUGAAAUCCAUGUGUUUUUAGAUGUUUAACAAUCCUAUCCAUCAUGGGUGACUUUAAUCUUCCUGAUGUGAACUGGAAAACCAAAUUAGCUACUUGUGCCAGGAGCACACAUAUCCUAAACUCCCUACUGGGAUUGUCUCUAAAACAAGUCGUUGAGGAGCCAACUCGUAAUGAGGACAUACUAGAUUUAGUGUUAACAAAUGGAGAUUUGGUAUCAAAUAUUACUAUAGGUGAAAGAAGUUUAGGAUCCAGGGAUCAUCAGUCAGUGUGGUUUAAUAGAAGAACAGUGGCUGAGUCACACCACACAAAAACAAAAGUUUUAGACUUUAGAAAAACAGACUUUUAAAAAAUUAGAAUAUGUGCAAAGAAGUCGUUAUCAGACUAGAGCAGUUUAACCCCUUAAGGACCAAACUUCUGGAAUAAAAGGGAAUCAUGACAUGUCAGACAUGUCAUGUGUCCUUAAGGGGUUAAAUGGAGUCUGUGACGAAAACACCUUCAUCACUGGUGUUUGGAGGGGCCUGUUUGCCAGCCUCUUGCUGCAGGACUAUGGCCCAUAUGUUAAAAUGGGUCGUAGGGCUAUGGAAAGGCUUUUUUGUACCUUUCCCCUCAUAUGGUUCGAUAUUUGGGGUUGCCGAUCAAACUGUCCAACAACCGGACCACCCACAAGUGUAGCGUGUCCCUCAUUUACCUCCCAAGAGCUGUGGUUAACCGUAGCUAAUUGAUGAAUGGCUGGGAGAUCGGCGUUCGUAUGAACGAACACGUGGCGGCGGCUAUUUUGUUUAGCCAAAUGCACUCAGCUGUGUUUUGUCGUCGAACGCCUGGACACGCAAAAGCAUGAACACCGCUGGGACUUCCACCUUCCGAGCGUUCGGCUAAAUUCACAUUAACGGAGCACUAUUUCUGGAAAACAAACUAACAAACGAGACGCUUGCAAUGAAGUACUGUGCAAACGGAUCUGUUCUGUAUACAUUAAGGAAAGGAGAAGAUAGACCAGCCACACAGCCUAAAUCUGUGGAACUAUUGUGAGCGGUCAAAUGUGACUUCCAUAGAAUUUGGGAACCCCUGCUCUGAUCUGGGUUAUUUUUGAAAAUGUGGUUCACCCAGAUCAGAGCUAUCCAGGAAUGUAUAAUUUGUGGGGAUAUGUUUGUGUUUUGGGGUGUUUCUGGACUUUGGGUAAAAAUUUAUAUUUUCUGCCUAUGGAUAAUAAGGUUAUUCCAUUAGCUAUAGCUAUCUUAAUUAUAUCACAGGCAGAGGGGAGGGAUUGCUGACUGUAUGUGGGAGUGUUGCUGUACUAAUUAUUGUUCCUAUUGGUUUGUGUCCCUUUUGUCCAUCAGGUCCAGGGGGUGUGCCUGAAAAUAUGUAUAAAAGAAAUGCCCUUACACUCAAUAAACCAGACCUACUUACCCUUCAUGAAGGCUUGGCUCAUGUUUGGGGGAUUGGAGAACCACACUCUGAGGAUUGCUAUAAUCACUAUACUCCCCAGAGUAUAAUCACUAGCUCUUGUAAGAGCUUUUCUUGUUCCUGUUCCUGCUCUCUGGAUUUAAGGAGAGGUUCACCUACUGGAAGCUGGAGCCCGGUCUUGGGUCCAGGGUGAGUGGAGGACGACGAAACCCCAACCAAGGUUUGCGGUGGUUGUGGUGUCGAGUGUGUUGCUGAUGGUCCUUGGCGAGCACUAGGAGCAUCGUUUGACGCCAGUCUGGGUGGCAGGCGUUCCGUCAGAGUCCAAGAGAAAUGGGAUUAUUUAAAGGUUGCACUGCUGAAAGCAACAGAAAAUUGCAUUAGGCUUGUCAGUAAAAGCAAAAUAAAUUAAGAAAUCACCGUGGUACUCAGCAGAUGUGGCCAAAAUAGUAAACGAAAAGUUAGCAUUUAGUAAUUAUAAAAUAACCCAGAGUGAGGAAGAUAGACAGAUCUUUAAGAUUAGACAGAGGUUAAGCAAGUUAUAAGAGCGUUCAAAUCACACACAAAAGAGAAAAUAGCACAGUCAGUAAAAAAAGGGGACUGUUAAGACACCCCCAGUGUCUUUAAAUAAAGCCGCCGUUUAGUCGACCUUACCCUGCUGCAGCACCAAUAAUCUCCGUUCGCAUAACUGUAGUGCACGAACCAAACUCAGGGGAAGCGGCAAUCUCCCGACCGGGAUCAGUGAAAGGCUCCAACCUCCCGAACGGAACUCCACGAACUGCUGCUAGCCGCCGAACAAUAAUAUCCACCAAGCGGCUUUCGGUUCCAUCCAGCAGUCUCUAAACGCAAAUAAUAAAUCCCCCCAAUAACGAGACAGAAGCUCCGCAUUGAGGGUCAAACAGGAUCUGGCUUUACUGUGGGCUACCUGCCCGUAUUUAUGCAGGUCUCCCACUUGGUGGACACUCCCCUAGGGGACCAAAUGGGAGACUUAAAUGACAGACAGAUAUGGGGACAUUCCAGACACAUAGACACAGUUUUUACCCACAAUGCACUAUGAUUCCCUCCCCUCUGCCCUGGAGAUAAUUACCAAGUAACUCAAUUAUCUCCAGGACAAAGCCAGUCGCCAUUUUAAAUAUAAAAUCAUAAAAGACAUAAAAAUACAUAACUUUAAAAUAACCGAACAUUUCCCAUUCGUAUCACAUAUCCCCAGAUCCCUGGAUCUGAGUGCAUAUUAUUAGCGAAUAGCGCUCAGAUCCCACACACAUUUCAAUCGCCAUGGAGUCAAAGCUCUUACAGUCCUUCGGUAUACGAAUGACUCCAUGGGAAGGCUAUCUGGGUUAAGUCCUUUCGUAUGCUUCAAACCUCCCGAAUGGCCGGUAUUCGUAUGCUUUCGUGAAGGCAGCCAGGCGUUCCGUUGUUUCAGCGGUGUUCGGCAGAAAAAGUGUCCGUUUUUAGUUCCAUAGAAAUAGAGCCAAACACCGCUGGGCUUUCGCGUGGUUUAAAAUGGCCGCUGCCUCGUGGUCGACAUACGAAAGCCAACCACCCUGAAUUAGUUUAAUUGAGAAGUGUCUGCGGUUAACCACAACGUUCUAAUUGAGAUCAAUAGGUUAACCAGCAGCACACUUCUCUCCGUUCGGUAGGUUUGUUCGGGAAAAAACAGUCAUUCGUAUGGCUGGACUAUAGAAACAGCCAUUUACACGAAAGGAGGCAGAAAUAGACGAAUCCACCACAAUAGGCAGUCAGAUGGUUCUGUCACACGGCUCCCUCCUUGUGGGACACUCCGGCAGACCCGGCUUGACCCUGUGGCGGGUCAACUUGGGGAUGACCGGACUAGGAGGUGGUGGAGACGUCUGUUUGUCGGGAUAACCCAUCUGCAUUCACGUUCAGCUUACCGAGUCUGUAGCUGAUGGUAAAAUUGUAGGGCUGCAAUGCCAAGCUCCAUCUCAGUAGUCUCCCAUUGUCUCCUGAGACCCGGUUAAGCCAAACGAGUGGGUUAUGAUCCAUCACCAGGGAAAACUCUUGCCCUUACAAAUAGGGACUUAACUUUUUCAAUGCCCAGACCAAGGCCAAGCACUCCUUCUCCACUGCCGCACAACUCACUUCUCUGGGUAACAACUUUCUGCUGAGAUAUGCGACAGGGUGCUCUCCUCCAUCCUCCCCGACUUGGCUCAGCCCCCAGUCCAUACAUGGAAGCAUCUGUGUGGACGAGAAAGCGUUUGUUAGGGACUGGGGCAGCCAAGACAGGGGCAUUCACAAGAGCCUGUUUUAGUGCCUGGAACGCAGCUUCACAAGCCGGAGACCACAGGACCUGCUUAGGCAAGUUCUUCUUUGUCAGGUCUGUCAGGAGCUUAGCAAUAGUGCUGUAGUCAGGGACAAAACAUCUGUAGUACCCUGCCGUCCCCAAAAAGGCCAAUACCUGGGUCUUAGUGGUAGGUGUGGGCCAGAUAGCCACCGCCUCUACCUUGGCUGGCUCUGGUCUCUGGCUCCCACACCCCACUCUGUGACCCAGGUACUGUACUUCAGCCAUAACUAGAUGGCACUUCUCUGGCUUCAAUGUCAGACAAGCGGCCCGAAUUUUAUCCAGCACUACCCCUACAUGUACCAGGUGUUCCUCCCAGGACCCACUGUAAAUCGCAAUGUCGUCCAAGUAUGCACAGGCAAAUUCUUGGAAGCCAUCCAGGAGUCUAUCCACCAUCCGUUGGAAGGUAGCCGGUGCAUUUUUCAUCCCAAAAGGCAUGACCUUAAAUUGGUACAGGCCAAAUGGGGUGACAAAUGCCGACUUGGGGAUAGCAUCCUCGGCAAGUAGCCCUUACACAGGUCUAUGGUGGUCAGAUAGCGCCCCCUGGCAAUAAGAUCCAGUAAUUCGUCUACCCUGGGCAUUGGGUAGGCGUCAGUGGUGGUCCGCUCGUUGAGCCGCCUGUAGUCCACACAGAACCGGGUGGUCCCAUCUUUCUUGGGCACCAGGACUACAGGCGAAGCCCAAGGGCUGUCGGAGUGCUUGAUGACCCCAAGCUGGGUCAUCUCCUGUAUCUCCUUCCGCAUUCCUUCACGGACUGCUUCAGGGAUACGAUAGGGGGGCUGUCGUAAGGGGGUCUGUCCAGGUGUCUCUACCUUAUGUACAGCUAGGGUGGUAUAACCUGGUUCCUGGGAGAACGUCGCCUGCUUCUCCCACAACAACUGCUGCGCCUGUACCUUUUCUGUUGGGUUCAACCUGUCCCCUAGCUGUACAAGGGUAGUAAGGUCAGUCUGGGAAUCCCUUUCUAAUAAAUCUGAAAGCGGUAAAUUCUCAGAAUCAUCUGCAGCUGGGGCACAUACUGCUGCAAUGUUCUCAGGUCUUUCCUGGUACUCUUUCAGCAUGUUCACAUGGAAGGAUCGCUGGACCCUCUCAUCUGCACAGCUGGCUAUCAAGUAAGUAGUAUCGCAGAUCUGCGCCACUACCUUGUACGGGCCCUGCCAAGAUGCUUGCAUCUUGUUGGCCUUCACAGGUUUGAGCACCAAUACCUUUUGCCCAAUCUGGAACACCCGCUGUUGGGCACCCUGAUCGUACCAUCUCUUCUGUCUCCCCUGGGCCACCUGGAGAUUCUCCCUUACCAUCAGGGACAGUUUCUCCAUGCAGUCCUGGAGUUCCAGAACAUAUGGCACUAUGGGGGGCCCCCUCCUGCUCCGUCUCCCCCUCCCAGUGGCCUCGAAUGAGAUCUAGGGGUCCGCGGACCCUUCUCCCAUACAGCAGCUCAAAGGGGGAGAACCCAGUGGAUUCCUGGGGCACCUCUCUGUAAGAAAAUAACAGAUGAGGCAGGAACCUCUCCCAGUCUCUGCAAGUAUCUGUAAAGGUCCUCAGCAUCUGUUUGAGAGUACCGUUAAAGCGCUCGCAGAGACCAUUAGUCUGCGGGUGGUAGGGUGAGCUAAGUAACGGCUUAAUGCCACACACCUUCCACAGCUGCUGGGUGAGCACAGCGGUGAAUUGGGUUCCCUGGUCGGAGAGGAUCUCCUUAGGGAACCCGACCCUAGUAAAAAUUCUAACCAGGGCAUCAGCAACCAUCUCUGCCUCUAUAUUAGACAGCGCUACUGCCUCUGGAUAGCGAGUGGCAUAGUCCACCACGGUAAGAACGUAUUUCUUACCUGAUGGACUAGCCCUGGCCAGUGGACCCACAAUGUCAACAGCUAUGCGGGCAAAGGGCUCCCCUAUAAUAGGCAUCGAUAAUAGCCUAGCCUUAGGGUGGUCCCCCCGCUUUCCUACCCAUUGACACGUGUCAUACGUACUGCAAUACAUCCGCACAGCCUGGUUAAAGUUUGGCCAAAAGAAGUUCUGUGAGAUGCUAUAGGCGGUGCGGCGGGACCCUAGAUGUCCAGCUAACGGAACAUCAUGCCCUAUCCGCAGAAUCUCCUGCCGGUACUUUGCAGGUACCACUAACUGUCAAUUCGGUGGAGGGGCAACACUCUUCUGGGAAGGCUUAGGGAUCCGAUAUAACCUGUCCCCCACCCACUCAUACCGCUCCCCAUCUACUCUUUCCUCUCCAGCAUCUGCCCUAUCUCGGUAUUUCUGGAGAGUCGGGUCUGCCCGGGUUUCCCUCCCAAACUCCUCUGGGGAAUCCCAGCUUAAGGGGGCCUGAUCUAGGGUACCAGUCGGGGAAGAGGGUCUUACCUGGGUCUCAUCAGCAGGUGGGCCGGUUCCAGCAGCACGAGUAGUCACUGGGUUAACGUCCGCAGGGCCCAUCGGGGCAUAGGCUGAAACCAACGGGGCCAAAUCAUUCCCAAGGAGGACAUCAGCGGGCGCUAGACCCCCACAUCCACGUGUCUAGUGCCCACUCCCCAAUCCAAAUGUACCCGGGCAACAGGUAAACGAAACACGGCACCCCCUGCUACCCUCACCGCCACAGUGUCCCCAGUGUGCUGAUGCUCCGAGACCAAGUUCUUUUGGAGCAGUGUCAUAGUGGCUCCUGUGUCUCUCAGCCCAUUUACCACUCUGCCAUUCAGCUUCACGGUUUGCCGAUGUUGCUGGCGGUUGUCCUGAUGAGCUGCUUGCACUGGGUCAGCCUCGUGUAGAAUGCCCCAGAACUCCUCCUGCUCAAUACAGUGAGCUGCAGGUUGAGGUGGCCGCUGGUUCCCGUUGGCUGGUCUCCUCCAUGACUGGGCCUGAUUGGCGCUGUUCAGAGGGCAUUCCGGUUGCUUGUGCCCCAACUGUUUGCACCCAAAGCACCGGAUUGGUUGCGAAUAGUCCCUGGCAUUGAACCGAGAGGGUUGCACAUAGUUAUUAGCUGGCGGUACGGCUGGGGUGCGGUGUACUGGGGGUUGGUAUGCUGAAGGAGCUGGUGUUACUGCUGGUCGAUACUCCAGUCUGGCAGGGACUUUGGCAGCUGUACUAUCCAAUUUGCGGGCGUCUGUGUAUUCGUCUGCCAGAUGAGCAGCCUCGGGUAGGGUAGAGGGUUUUCUAUCUCUGACCCACUCCCGGACCCCAGCAGGUAGUCUAUCAAAGCAGUGCUCCAGCAAGAACACUUGUAGCACUUCCUCCCCAGUUACCGCUUGGCAUCCUGCCAUCCAGUGGGCUGCGGUACGAUGAACUCUGCAGGCCCACUCCACAUAAGAAUCACCAACCUGCUUGUUGGUUUCUCUAAAUCGCCGCCUGUAAGCUUCUGGGGUCACCGCAUACCUGGCUAGGAGUGCAUCCUUCGCAGCCCGGUAGCUGGUGAUCUCCUCCUCUGGGAUGGCCCGAAACACUUCACUCGCCCGGCCGGAUAAUUUCCCAGAGAGGAUGGUGACCCAGUCAUCUGCGGGUACCUGGUGUAGGGCACACUGCCUCUCGAAGUCCGCCAGGAACCCAUCAAUCUCUCCCUCUGUUUCCACAAAAUUUUUAAAUGCUGCAAAGGGUACCUUUUUUCUAGCAAAAUUAUUAUUGGGUACCUCUGCUGCUGUAGCUCCUCUUUCCCGGAGCGCCUGGUGUGCCAUUACUGCUGCCUGCACACGCUCCACGAUGUCAGCUGAGGGGUUGGGCCAAAAUGUGCCAGCCUUAUUUGCACUGCCCGGUUAAAUUGUAUUUCCUCGGGUGUUAACUCCAAAAUACUGGGCACAUUAGCUCUCUCCUUUCCCGGUGCUGCAUCCAUCUCCAGUAGUAAAGCAAUAAUUUCUCUCUUUUUUAAAUUGCUUGCUGACCUUCUUCAGCGUUCCAAUAUAUCCUUAAGUGUAGCACGCCUUAAUUCCUCGUACUGCAUGUCUUGUAGCUGACCUCCUGUGCUGUGGGAUUCAUCCCACCGCUGCUACCAAUUGUUAAGACACCCCAGUGUCUUUAAAUAAAGCCACCGUUUAGUCGACCUUCCCCUGCUGCAGUACCAAUAAUCUCCGUUCGCAUAACUGUAGUGCACGAACCAAACUCAGGGGAAGCGGCAAUCUCCCGACCGGGAUCAGUGAAAGGCUCCAACCUCCCGAACGGAACUCCACGAACUGCUGCUAGCCGCCGAACAAUAAUAUCCACCAAGCGGCUUUCGGUUCCAUCCAGCAGUCUCUAAGCGCAAAUAAUAAAUCCCCCCAAUAACGAGACAGAAGCUCCGCAUUGAGGGUCAAACAGGAUCUGGCUUUACUGUGGGCUACCUGCCUGUAUUUAUGCAGGUCUCCCACUUGGUGGACACUCCCCUAGGGGACCAAAUGGGAGACUUAAAUGACAGACAGAUAUGGGGACAUUCCAGACACAUAGACACAGUUUUUACCCACAAUGCACUAUGAUUCCCUCCCCUCUGCCCUGGAGAUAAUUACCAAGUAACUCAAUUAUCUCCAGGACAAAGCCAGUCGCCAUUUUAAAUAUAAAAUCAUAAAAGACAUAAAAAUACAUAACUUUAAAAUAACCGAACAUUUCCCAUUCGUAUCACAUAUCCCCAGAUAGCCUGGAUCUGAGUGCAUAUUAUUAGCGAAUAGCGCUCAGAUCCCACACACAUAGUUCAAUCGCUAUGGAGUCUGUAUACGAAUGAUUCCAUGGGAAUGCUAUCUGGGUUAAGUCCUUUCGUAUGCGUCAAACCUCCCGAAUGGCCGGUAUUCGUAUGCUUUCGUGGAGGCAGCCAGGCGUUCCGUUGUUUCAGCGGUGUUCGGCAGAAAAAGUGUCCGUUUUUAGUUCCAUAGAAAUAGAGCCAAACACCGCUGGGCUUUCGCUUGGUUUAAAAUGGCCGCUGCCUCGUGGUCGACAUACGAACGACGAACACCCUGAAUUUGUUUAAUUGAGAAGUGUCUGCGGUUAACCACAACGUUUUAAUUGGGAUCAAUAGGUUAACCAGCAGCACACUUCUCUCUUGGGUGGCCGUCCGUUCGGUAGGUUUGUUCGGGAAAAAAACAGUCAUUCGUAUGGCUGGGCUAUAGAAACAGCCAUUUACACGAAAGCUGCCUUCAACAUGGAUGCUGUCCAGGAGGUGGGAGGGUCUGGGAGGGAGGGUCUGCUGGAGAUUGGCCGGGAUGUGUCAGCUGACCGGAGCUCGAACUGUGGCGAGCCGUUCGCGGGAAGUUCGCGAACGGUUCGCGACAUCACUACUAGAAAGCUACGGCUCCUGGCGCCCCGAUCAUACCAUGUGCACUGGCGCUUCUGGGCCGCCUGUAGGUUCCCUCGCACCAUAUUCCCAUGCAUCAAAGCGCCCCCGUGUGGUCAACAAGCAAUUCGCAUGCUUUUAUGUGAAAAUUACAGAGGGGGUAAAUUUAAGAAGGGAAAACAUACAUUCCAGGAGAGUACAUCCACACAUAGGAAAAGGCAAUUCACAGUCAUGUGGCGGUCCUGCAACAACAGUCUUAAAUUAGAGAGGCAAAGGUUUAAAAAUAAUAUCAGGAAGUAUUACUUUACUGAGAGGGUAGUGGAUGCAUGGAAUAGCCUUCCAGCUGAAAUGGUAGAGGUUAACACAGUAAAGGAGUUUAAGCAUGCGUGGGAUAGGCAUAAGGCUAUCCUAACUAUAAGAUAAGGCCAGGGACUAAUGACAGUAUUUAGAAAAUUGGGCAGACUAGAUGGGCCGAAUGGUUCUUAUCUGCCGUCACAUUCUAUGUUUCUAUGUUUCUAUAACUUCCCCCUUCAUUGUCAUUUUAGCUAUUUCCUCAACUAGUAGAUUAUCUAACUCUUCUAUUUGUCCUGCGGGCCUAUAAAUCACACCUACACUAGUUACUGUGUUUCUAUGUGACUAGCUAUGUAUUUAUGUGUAUGUGAUGAAACAUUCACUAGGGAACCCUGACAUGCAGACAGGACAGAGUAGAGAGAAUUGCAAUACCGAUCCUUAGCAUGGUUGGGUAAUGCAAAAAGGGGUAGUCAAAACACAAGCCGAGAUCAAGCAAAAGAGAGAGACAGAAUAAUGAGAGACAAAGCCAAAUAUCAGUAACCAGGAAAUUCAAAUAACAAGUGGUAAACCAAAGACCACAACAGGGCACUGAGGCAAGGGAGGGGUUAGCUUAUAUACACACAGGGUGUGUCUGAUUGGCUAAUCUCCAAUUAGUGUUAACCACAACCCAUGGGAGGAGUUUCUUCCCUCCCUUGUGGUCUUACUGUGCGCCAGGUUACAUGACCGGGUUCAGCACACAAACAAGGAAGAUGCUCUUGAGCGUGCAGCAUCAGACACACUGCCAGACAGGGGCCAGAUGACGCCGCUUGCAGUGAUGAGGUAAGCAAGGUCGCUGCGAGCGACGCGGGGGCAGGGGACCUAAUAUGUGACUAGCUGUGUGUAUCUGCGUAUGUAAAUAGCUGUGUGUAUCUGUGUAUGUAACUAGCUGUGUGUUUCUGUGUGUGUGACUAGAUGUUUGUAUCUGCUUAUGUUACUACCUGUGUGUAUCUGCAUAUGUAACUAGCUGUGUGUAUCUGUGUAUGUAACUAGCUGUGUGUAUCUGUGUAUGUGACUAGCUGUGUGUAUCUGCUUAUGUAACUACCUGUGUGUAUCUGCGUAUGUAACUAGCUGUGUGUAUCUGUGUAUGUAACUAGCUGUGUGUAUCUGUGUAUGUGACUAGCUGUAUGUAUCUGCGUAUGUAACUACCUGUGUGUAUCUGUGUAUGUGACUAGCUGUGUGUAUCUGUGUUUGUGACUAGCUGUCUGUUUCUGUUACUAACUGUGUGUAUAAGCAUAUUUGACUAGCUGUGUGCAUCUGUGUAUGUUACUAACUGUGUGUAUAAGCAUAUUUGACUAGCUGUGUGUAUCUGUGUAUAUGACUAGCUCUCUGUUUCUGUGUUGGAUCGGGAGCAGUUCUGCCUCCAACUAUUGUGGUUUUGUUCGUGUUUGUGCUGUUUUAUUAUUUACUGAAAACAAUACAAUAAAAUUGCAAAGCUUAGAGCAAAUGAUAGGUCAUUCACUCUCUGAGUUCACUGAGACUGGCUGUCAGGGCUUUGUAGAGCCGGUACUGACUCCACCGGUUAGUGAUACACCCGGACAUGUCUGAAUGUCUAACUUACUUAUUAUUUUGUAUAAUACUUAUUGUGAGAUGUGUAACACAGUAUUUGUGUGAAACACUACCUGCUAGUUUUUGUGGUGUGUGGAAAGGACUUUCAAUAUCUUUGUAGCUCCUGUUUCCAUAGUCUUUAAUUGUCUGUCCUAUUUGUUUUUAUUACUCUAUUACAUUGUGCGCUUGGCUAUCUUGGCAGCUCAUGUACAGGUGCAGGGGUCCCUCAUAGGACAUAAUACAUUGGUUUUCCGUCAUUUUUACGCGGUAUCAGAAUGACUCGCCUAAGUAUUUUCAUUUGUGGGAUGUAGAACUGGUCCUUCACUUAUUCGAGCUUGGUCAGAUGCCACAAAUCUAUUUCUCAGUCUACUGUUGGCUACGCUUAUCCUUUUAUCAUAUCUGUUUUCAUUUAGAUGAGUGUCUAAAUGUUUGUGUGUUCCAUGUUGUCAGGGUCUUACCUGAGUUGGGAGUCUGUAGCGCAGAUAUGAUGCUCACCCUUGCAGAUAGCCACAGGCCGAGGUGGUCAGGUAAGAAUUCACCUGGCCUGUGGGUCUGUGCACGGGGGCUGUGCAGGAUGCAGUACCAAUACGCAGGACAGGCAAGGACUGAACCAGAAGGAUGGUCGAGGGAUAGCCGAGGUCAAAGGAUGCCAGAGGACAGGAACAACGAGGAGUAGCCGAAGUCAAGGGAUGCCAGAAGUCAGAAUAAACGAGUCAGGAAGCCGGGGUCAAUAAUGCGAAGCGAUGAAACAGGAACACUGGAACAAACAGGAUCAAAGACUUGACCCUGAGCACAGGGCGAGGCUGGGUUUAUAUACCCUGCUGAUGACUGAUCAGAGUCAGGUGAAACACAGCCAAGUCAAGGUGCAGCCCCCAGAGUAGUAGCCAUGUCAGGAUGAACAGGACUGGAAUCAGUCUUCACUGUAAAUAGCUGCUGUGGCUCAGAGGUAGAAAGCAGGACCAGGACUGAGAAGAUCCCCGGUUCAAGUCCCCUGUUGGGAACUCCAAGAGCGACCACGUCUUGCCGUCUGUCUAUCAGGUGAGAACCGUGACAGUACCCCCCCCUUUAAAAACGACCUCCGGGCGUGAAUGGGUUCAUUGUCAGCAUAGUACACCUCUCCAGGGUCACUAUCUGAAUCCAGUGAGUCCCCAUAGUCAAACUCCCCAGCAAGGAUUCCCUUUACAGCUUGGGAGUCCGCAGUACCAGCUUCUGGUACGGCUGGAGAAUUGUCCAGGUCUUUUAGGUUCCGGGUACAGGUGGCAAGCACUUCCAAAACUUUGGCAGGAGCAGUGUUCGCAGCUAACAAUGCUUUUUCGAACAUUCAAGGUCUUCUUUACGGACUAUAGUGCCAUUAGAAGCAACGGCACAAUCCACAGGUAAAACCUCUUCGGGCGGGCAGGAAGUAGUGGUGGUAUCACAGGAAGCAACUUCGGGAGUAGAUGCAGGAGGCUCUGGAGCAGGGGAUGGAGGUUUUCUCGCGGAAGCCAAGCAUGUGCAAGCACAACGGCUUCUAUUUGGCUUUUUAGGCUGGUAUGCGGUGUACACAGGGCGAAGGAAACUAGUACCAAGUCGGAGAGCUGGAGGUCUAGGAGGGCGAACAGGACAAAGCGUGAUGAAGUGCCCUUUUUCUCCACAGUAAUAACAUAGGCCAUAGCUUCUCCUUCGGUCUUUUUCCUUAGGUGUCACUUUGCAGUGGACGAGUCCUAAUUGCAUAGGUUCCACAGGGUCAAGUGGAACACCGGAUACCUCUGGAGUUUUCCUGGGAGCUGGAACAUAAGGAGGCAUUUCUGGGGCGUAGUGGUGGUACUCGGUUUCUUGGUUAGGAAGAGUCUGAGAUUUUUUAGUACGUGGAGCUGACUUGGCCACAGUGGUCUUACAUUGUGAGUCCAUAGCAGUACUAAAGGAUUCCCAGCUGACCAGGACAGGACUCUUCGUCUGCAACAUUUGGUGAGCCCAAACUUUGAUGCGUCCAGACAACAGGUUGAUAGCCGCUCUGACCCUGAUGAAUUCUGUGGCAUAUGUUCGAGGCUUUAAGGAAAACAACACCUCACAAUCCAUCUUGAAAGACUGAAAGGAUGUGCGGCUACCAUCAAAUCGGUCGGGCAUGAUGACAAACGGUUCAGGAAAAGCUGGUUCCGGGGCUGGAUGUACUGCGCCUUUAAGGAAUAAAAUUUCUUGCUGCAGCUCCGAAACAGUCUGGGCCAGGCUGGACACACGCUGGGUCGAGGGUGAGCACAUCUCUGCGGACUCCAUAAUGGUCAAGUCCUUAUGUCAGGGUCUUACCUGAGUUGGGAGUCUGUAGCGCAGAUAUGAUGCUCACCCUUGCAGAUAGCCACAGGCCGAGGUGGUCAGGUAAGAAUUCACCUGGCCUGUGGGUCUGUGCACGGGGGCUGUGCAGGAUGCAGUACCAAUACGCAGGACAGGCAAGGACUGAACCAGAAGGAUGGUUGAGGGAUAGCCGAGGUCAAAGGAUGCCAGAGGACAGGAACAACGAGGAGUAGCCGAAGUCAAGGGAUGCCAGAAGUCAGAAUAAACGAGUCAGGAAGCCGGGGUCAAUAAUGCGAAGCGAUGAAACAGGAACACUAGAACAAACAGGAUCAAAGACUUGACACUGAGCACAGGGCGAGGCUGGGUUUAUAUACCCUGCUGAUGACUGAUCAGAGUCAGGUGAAACACAGCCAAGUCAAGGUGCAGCCCCCAGAGUAGUAGCCAUGUCAGGAUGAACAGGAUUGGAAUCAGUCUUCACUGUAAAUAGCUGCUGUGGCUCAGAGGUAGAAAGCAGGACCAGGACUGAGAAGAUCCCCGGUUCAAGUCCCCUGUUGGGAACUCCAAGAGCGACCACGUCUUGCCGUCUGUCUAUCAGGUGAGAACCGUGACACAUGUUGACCCUUAUUCCUUUUUCCCUUGAAGGAUUACUUUAGUGGUUUCUCGACAUACUAAAUCUAAUUUCUCUUCGUUUUUAUCCCUAUUUUCACGUUGUUCUGAAACUUUGGGUAGUUUUGAGCUAUCACAUUAUGAAGAGGCUACGUCUACUCUACACGCCUCUUAUUCUGGUCAACCACUCAUUUCAUGUGUGUCCCCACACAGACCUGUCUCUACUACUACCCUGGCUCUGUGGGUUCAUUUGUGUUAUCUGUGGCAGGAAUUUCUCUCUCCAUCUAAUGUAGGUUUGUAAUGCAUAUCUAGCUUCCCUUUGUGAUAUUGUGCGAUCGGCUAAAUGGUCUUGAGAGGACACAUUUAGAUGGUUUUACUUUCAUCUUCCUACUCAUGCUUCUUUUGCGCUAGUAUUUGAGAGCUGAAAGAAAAUAUAUGUAGCAUCUUGCCACGUGGUAAUAUUGAAAAUUAUGUUAACUUUAUUGUACUGAUAAUCUUAAUUUGAGUAAUGACAAGAGGCGAAAAUUUUCCCUUCCAUUUUUUUCCCUUCCCGAUGCGUGCUUGUAUUUGUUGGAGAUUUUUACUGGUUCAUGAGUCUUGUUUUUCCUGUAUUUAUGUGUUUAUAUUGCACUGUGAUAGAUUUGGUUAUUGCUGUUUUGAUAGUUCAUGAUAUGUUUUUAAUUCAAGUUCAUGUGGUUUAUAUAUUUAUUCCCCUUGAUGGAUCAUUAACUAACCUUUAUUUUUUGCAAUGUUCUUUCUGUCAUUUCAGUUUGAUCUUCAGAUUCUAGUCCUCUGCUGGACAUAUGUUAUCUUCAUUCUCAAACCGAUAGAAACCUACAAGUUCUACAUCACGGUUUUGUUGUUUUACUAACUACUUUGUUUUGUUUCUCUGUACUGUUUGUGUUUUCCACAGCUCGAAAGAUAAAGUGCUU
This 31953-nucleotide long non-coding RNA is filed under the name Pelobates cultripes (western spadefoot toad). The record is from RNAcentral. Lineage: Eukaryota; Metazoa; Chordata; Amphibia; Anura; Pelobatidae.